Molecule: ribosomal RNA, 538 nt
Filed under: Pseudoalteromonas haloplanktis
Lineage: Bacteria; Pseudomonadati; Pseudomonadota; Gammaproteobacteria; Alteromonadales; Pseudoalteromonadaceae
Description: bacterial SSU rRNA
Rfam family: Bacterial small subunit ribosomal RNA
Source: RNAcentral
CUUAGCUGUGACGUUACUUACAGAAGAAGCACCGGCUAACUCCGUGCCAGCAGCCGCGGUAAUACGGAGGGUGCGAGCGUUAAUCGGAAUUACUGGGCGUAAAGCGUACGCAGGCGGUUUGUUAAGCGAGAUGUGAAAGCCCCGGGCUCAACCUGGGAACUGCAUUUCGAACUGGCAAACUAGAGUGUGAUAGAGGGUGGUAGAAUUUCAGGUGUAGCGGUGAAAUGCGUAGAGAUCUGAAGGAAUACCGAUGGCGAAGGCAGCCACCUGGGUCAACACUGACGCUCAUGUACGAAAGCGUGGGGAGCAAACAGGAUUAGAUACCCUGGUAGUCCACGCCGUAAACGAUGUCUACUAGAAGCUCGGUUCCUCGGAACUGUUUUUCAAAGCUAACGCAUUAAGUAGACCGCCUGGGGAGUACGGCCGCAAGGUUAAAACUCAAAUGAAUUGACGGGGGCCCGCACAAGCGGUGGAGCAUGUGGUUUAAUUCGAUGCAACGCGAAGAACCUUACCUACACUUGACAUACAGAGAACUUAC